AAAUGACCAAAUGACUUCACCAAGCAUCCAUAAGGAUUUGGUUAAUUGUUGUACUGUAGAGAUGACAAGGUCUAUGAUCAAUGCGAUGGAUGAUUCUUUGUUUUCAAUUUUGGUUGAUGAGCCUUAAAAUAAUUCUAUAAAAGAACAAAUGACAGUUGUUUUGAGGUUUGUUGACAAAAGAGGGCAAGUGAAGGAGCGUUUGUUGGGCAUUUUUCAUAUCGCUGGUACUUGUGCCCAAUCACUUAAGGAUGUCAUUGAUGCAAUGUUUUCUACACAUGGGUUGAGCAUAUCUAGCCUGAGAGGUCAAGGUUACGAUGGAGCAAGCAAUAUGUCACGUGAGUCCAAUGGCUUAAAUGCUUUAAUUUUAAGAGAGAACCCAUGUGCUAUGUAUAUUCAUUGCUUUGCUCACCAAUUUCAAUUGGCAAUUGUUUCUGUGGCACAUAGGAAUGUUAUGCUUAGUGAUUUAUUUAACAUGCUUGCUAUUAUUGUGAAUUUGGUUGGUGCAUCAUGUAAACGUGUAGAUGCUCAUCGAACAAGUUAUCAUUCUGAAUUUUGAAGAGACUUAAUAUUGAGGAUGGUGGAACUGGUCAGUUUCAAUAAAUGAGUUUGACACGCCCAGGUGAUACUAGAUGGGGCUCACAUCUAAAAACAAUUACUCACUUUAUAAGUAUGUUUAAUGCAAUCGUAGAUGUUCUUGAGAAUAUAUCAGAAGACGACAUAAGUUUAGAGCAAAACUUAAUGGCC
RNAcentral lists this long non-coding RNA (744 nucleotides) under Olea europaea subsp. europaea. The record is from RNAcentral. Lineage: Eukaryota; Viridiplantae; Streptophyta; Magnoliopsida; Lamiales; Oleaceae.